CUCUUUCACUCAAGGCGGGGGUGGGGAGAUGGAGGACAAGUGAAGAAGAAACUGGCUCCCCUCAGAUGCAAAAAGAGAAGGCAGGCACAGGAAAUAGAACACAACACUGACUUUAAUGGGGCAGCCCUGAGCCGUAACCUUCAAACCUUCCGCCUCAGUACCCCGUGCGCGAGGAGGGAGGGGCGACUGCUACGGGCACAUCGUCGAUGUCCUCCCUACUCCUGGCGAUCCCACGCCUCACCCCUUCCUCUCCAGCUGCUGCGGUCUCCGUCGCCGAGGUGGGUCCCAGGUAAGCUCCCAGGAGGGGCAGGGGAGCCCCUCAGCGGCCCGGGACAGAUUCCCCCAUGGCUGAGGGCAUGGGGAACUAGCCUGGAUGGAGACGCCGCCGUCCUCGGAGCUGGGCGGGGACCUGAUUCUGGGGGUGUGGACAGAGCCAAGGGACCGCCCCCCAAGGCCCAGCGCCGGGAGAUGCAAGGCCGGGCCCAAGGUGUUGGACACUGCUUUGGGGGACAGGCUAGGUCUCUGCACGUGGCUUCUGGGCUCUGGAAAGCGGUCCAUUCUCCUGACCCGGAUCUCCGGAGUGGUAGGAGGCGGCUCAGUCCCGGGCCUGCGCUCCUAGAGUUCCUGUCCCAUCUCCUCCCACGCUCACCCAUCCCAAGGAAGGAGGGCACUCGGGCCCCAGCAGGCUCGUGAGAGCAGCGGGCUCCGCCCUCCCAAUGGUCUAUCCAUCGGUGGGUGGGUCCGGCGCGGCGUCGGGGCUCUGGCGGGUACCCGGGCGUCCCCGCGCGGCCCGGGCCGCCGCUCACCGCUGCUUA
RNAcentral lists this long non-coding RNA (815 nucleotides) under Homo sapiens (human). Its description in RNAcentral is "HSALNT0399249". Lineage: Eukaryota; Metazoa; Chordata; Mammalia; Primates; Hominidae. The record is from RNAcentral.